This 407-nucleotide ribosomal RNA is filed under the name uncultured bacterium. RNAcentral's name for it is "bacterial SSU rRNA". It matches the Rfam family "Bacterial small subunit ribosomal RNA", at positions 355 to 774 of the family's 1533-position model. The record is from RNAcentral.
UGGGGAAUAUUGCACAAUGGGCGCAAGCCUGAUGCAGCAACGCCGCGUGAGGGACGACGGCCUUCGGGUUGUAAACCUCUUUUGGCAGGGAAGAAGCGAAAGUGACGGUACCUGCAGAAAAAGCACCGGCUAACUACGUGCCAGCAGCCGCGGUGAUACGUAGGGUGCAAGCGUUGUCCGGGAUUAUUGGGCGUAAAGAGCUCGUAGGCGGUUUUUCGCGUCUGCUGUGAAAACCCGGGGCUCAACCUCGGGCCUGCAGUGGGUACGGGCAAACUAGAGUGCGGUAGGGGAGAUUGGAAUUCCUGGUGUAGCGGUGGAAUGCGCAGAUAUCAGGAGGAACACCGAUGGCGAAGGCAGAUCUCUGGGCCGUAACUGACGCUGAGGAGCGAAAGCAUGGGGAGCGAACA